RNAcentral lists this ribosomal RNA (301 nucleotides) under uncultured bacterium. Its description in RNAcentral is "partial 16S ribosomal RNA". It matches the Rfam family "Bacterial small subunit ribosomal RNA", at positions 509 to 809 of the family's 1533-position model. The record is from RNAcentral.
CAGCCCCGCGGUAAUACGGAGGGGGCUAGCGUUGUUCGGAAUUACUGGCGUAAAGCGCACGUAGGCGGCUUGGUAAGUUAGAGGUGAAAGCCUGGAGCUCAACUCCAGAAUUGCCUUUAAGACUGCGAGGCUUGAACGUCGGAUAGGUGAGUGGAAUUCCGAGUGUAGAGGUGAAAUUCGUAGAUAUUCGGAAGAACACCAGUGGCGAAGGCGGCUCACUGGACGACUGUUGACGCUGAGGUGCGAAAGCGUGGGGAGCAAACAGGAUUAGAUACCCGCGUAGUCCCUGUCUCUUAUACAC